UGAACCCUAAACUUAUUUAUGAAUCAGCUUAAACCUAAAUAUACAAACGUUUUGACAAAUGUUGAAAUUUGAGAUAAUUUAACACUGUCCCUUAUAGUACAUAUCUAACUUCCCCUAAUAAGGACCAAAUCAACUACUAGGGAUAUUAAGCAUUUUAAAACUGUCAAACAGUACUUGGAGCAAAUAAACUAAUCCGAUUGUUCAUAUAGAUAACAAAGCUAUAGAAUAGAAUACUAGAUUUAGGAUACCUAAACAAACAAAGACAUAAAUAUUAAACUAUAUAACUUGCAAACAACAUACAUAAGGAAAACUUGAAUUUAACACUUGAACAACUAACGUCUUAUUACAUUAAAGACUGAACACAUGCUUAGAGCUUCAGUUUGUCACUCAAAAGUUCAUAGAGGUACCUGGAUGUCAAGAACAAAUACAAGAAUGAAGUAAGGAUUUCAGCAAGCAAUAAGCGAGGACAAUAGCACAUCACAGCAGUACACAGCUUUAGAUUAAUCCAUGCCCGAAUCAGAAAACCAGAAAUCCCCUAAAAGGUUUCUAAAUUUUUCCUAAAGAAAAUCAGAAGAAAAUCGAACCAGCUAUCAAUGAAACAGUGUUGAACCUUUUUUUAAGUUCUUUUGGGUUUUAAAAAUAUAUCCUAAUGAAAGAGUAACUUUUCUUUAUAUAGGGCGUACAGAAAAAGUAUCCAAAGAAUAUUCUGAUCUAAAUUGUUUUGAUAGUACAUCAUAUUGACAGAGAAUAAUGUACAUGUGUCCAACUUUUCAGCAUCUUUUACACAAAUUCGACAACUGGUACUCUUCUAGAACUUUCUCAUAUGUCUGGGCCAAUUAUCAUGGCCAAAUGGCCCAAGACAGGGCCAAAACAGGCCCAACUCCAAUUAACAAUUCAGGCCUUCACUGGCCUAACCAGAAUCAAAUAUCAAAGUGAAAAAACUAUCAUCAAAUUACCCCAUUGAACAUUCUGAAAUUAAUCAGUACCCAAUCACUAACUAAACUCACUUAAAAGGCAAAUAAUCCUGAGAGAUAUGUAAAUAAGUUAAUAACUAGUUAAUUUAACUUGAUUAACCUAAAAACUAUGCAAAUGACCAAUUGGAAUUAAUUGAACUUAAACAAACUAAAAACUAGUUCAAACCAUUGAAUAAUAAGAACUAAUUCAAAACAAGAUAAUAAAACUAAUUUACAUAACUAAAUAAUCCAAACUAAUUCAAACAAGUAAAAUACCCGAAUUAAUUUAAACGAGUAGAUAAGAAAACUAAUUUAAAUAACUAAAUACUCAAACAAAUUCAAAUAAGUAGAUAAUCACAAUUAAUUCAAACAAGUAAUAGAAAAAUCCGAAAACAGAAACUAAACAAAAAAAAGAAAAGAAAAGAAAGAGGAAAGCUACUGGUUUUUAACUGAAAUGAAUUAAGGACUGAAGCAACUCAACGAAUGAUGAGGGUGUUGAACUUUGAUGGGUAUCAGUGACUUUGAUCAGAAGCUGGCGACUCUCAAAACAAACCAAAACUAACGCUAAUCAAUUGUUCUUAUCAAGAGCAAUUGCUUAAUGUAAAUCUCGAGUCAAAUCGCUCUGUGGAAGCAUAGAAAUUGGAGUUAGGAACAGAUUAGGUUUUUUUUUUGAAUUUUAGAUUUGAAAUUAAGAAAAAUGGAUGGGAAUUCAAAGAAAACUAAUGUUAGAGUUGUGCUUUGGGGGGGGGG
This 1703-nucleotide long non-coding RNA is filed under the name Nicotiana benthamiana. Its description in RNAcentral is "long non-coding RNA (NBEN_LNC016759)". Lineage: Eukaryota; Viridiplantae; Streptophyta; Magnoliopsida; Solanales; Solanaceae. The record is from RNAcentral.